AUACGGGAGGCAGCAGUAAGGAAUAUUGCGCAAUGGGCGAAAGCCUGACGCAGCGACGCCGCGUGGGGGAUGAAGGUCUUCGGAUUGUAAACCCCUUUCGGGAGGGAAGAUGGAGCGAGCAAUCGUUCGGACGGUACCUCCAGAAGCAGCCACGGCCAACUUCGUGCCAGCAGCCGCGGUAAUACGAAGGUGGCAAGCGUUGUUCGGAUUCACUGGGCGUACAGGGUGUGUAGGCGGUUUGGUAAGCCUUCUGUUAAAGCUUCGGGCCCAACCCGGAAAGCGCAGAGGGUACUGCCAGGCUAGAGGGUGGGAGAGGAGCGCGGAAUUCCCGGUGUAGCGGUGAAAUGCGUAGAGAUCGGGAGGAAGGCCGGUGGCGAAGGCGGCGCUCUGGAACAUACCUGACGCUGAGACACGAAAGCGUGGGGAGCAAACAGGAUUAGAUACCCCGGUAGU
Molecule: ribosomal RNA, 453 nt
Filed under: uncultured bacterium
Lineage: Bacteria
Description: bacterial SSU rRNA
Rfam family: Bacterial small subunit ribosomal RNA
Source: RNAcentral